Zootoca vivipara (common lizard) is the source of this 1773-nucleotide non-coding RNA. NCBI's taxonomy places the organism in Eukaryota, Metazoa, Chordata, Lepidosauria, Squamata, Lacertidae. The record is from RefSeq and is a predicted model, not a curated record.
CCCUCCGCGCCUCCCUGGAGAAGAAGAGCGGGGCGAAGGAGGCGGAGGGAACGCGGCGCGUGAAAGCGAAUGGUGGGCGAGCUGAGAGAGCGAGACUGUACCACGAAAGAAGCGCUGCGCAGCCUUAUCGCCAGGAGGGGAGGAGGCCAAGGGGCCGUGCUGGUUUCCCGCCCUUUCUUUCCGGUCGAGGUGGGUCUAAGAUGAGCCUACAGGCCCCGCUGGGUGGUGCACCACAGGCACCCCACCCCUGAUUUAUGUACAGACUAGUGGUACCUCAGGUUAACUACUUAAUUGGUUCUGGAAGUCCGCACUUAACCUGAAGCGAACUUUCCCAUUGAAAGUAAUGGAAAGUAGAUUAAUCCGUUCCAGACGGGUCCACAGAGUACUUAAAUUGAAAGUACUCAACCUGAAGCGUACCUAACUCGAGGUAUGACUGUAUUUUUAUUCAUCCCAUCCUCCAAGGCUGUGGUUUCCAAACUUAGGAUCAUAAAAAGACUGCCUUAUCUGAGUCAGACCAUUGGUCCACAUUAAGGUAAAAGGUAAAAGACCCCUGGACGGUGAAGUCCGGUCAAAGGCGACUAUGAGGGUGCGGCACUCAUCUCGCUUUCAGGCCGAGGGAGAUGGCGUUUGUCCACAGACAGCUUUCCUGGUCAUGUGGCCAGCAUGACUAAACCUCUUCAGGUGCAACAGAACACCAUGAUGGAAGCCAGAGCGCACGGAAAUGCCGUUUAUCUUCCCGCCACAGCGGUACCUAUUCAUCUACUCAUGCUGUUGACAUUCCCUGAACACACACCUUUUUGGGUCAGAGGGAGAAGACUGGGAAGAGGAGGGGUCGGAAGCUGAAGAGGCACUUAGUGAUCUGGCAGAGUCCGUGGCAGAGAGAAGUGCAAAAGCUGAAGCUGGUGAGUGGGAGGAGGGAGGCAAAGAGGCACAGAUGAGGCUGGUGAAGUCACUGGUGUCUCUUCUGCCGUGUGACAAGCUCCCCCCCUGUCCCCCAGAACCAGAAGAGGGCUGAAACAGGCAGAGCAGUGACAUACUUUGUGGAAGCAUAGUCUCCAAUUGCUUGAAAAGAGCUCUGUGGAGAGGAAGGGACUUAGAUGGUUGUGGGAAGGCAGGGACUUUCAGUCUUGGCAACUGAUUCAUGGGGUAAGGCCUACCAGGGAUGAACUGCUGUGCUCAUUUGGUCUGACACUGAGACAAGCUAAUAAAGAGUUAACUCCUACUUUCAACAGUGUGAUUUACUGCCGGCUCACUCUUUGACAUCUAAUCCACCAAACCUACAACAACUUGUUUAGUCGUUAAGGAGCCCCUAGACGUGCUUAUCUUUUGCCACAUACAUAAAAUAUGUGUAUUUUACAGAACCUUUUUCUUAUCAAUUUUUAGUCAAAUCACUAUUUCUCCCCAGCCCUCUUAUAUUUAGGAUUGUGGUGCUCACUGUGUUCUUUACAUUGUUGUUGGUUUAUUUUUAACAGGACACAAAAUCCUGAGAAGAAGAAGAAGAAGAAGAAGAAGAAGAAGAAGAAGAAGAAGAAGAAGAAGAGUUUGGAUUUGAUAUCCCGCUUUAUCACUACCUGAAGGAGUCUCAAAGCGGCUAACAAUCUCCUUUCCCUUCCUCCCCCACAACAAACACUCUGUGAGAGACCAACUAUUGGGUGGAAAGACGCUCAGUGACUAUGAGGAGGAAAACCUCUUCACAAUGCAAAGCCAAGAGGGCAAUGAGAAAAUUACAUCUGUAUUUACAGAGAAGACCCUGAAAAUGCAGUGACUCAUCAC